RNAcentral lists this ribosomal RNA (982 nucleotides) under uncultured Roseobacter sp. RNAcentral describes it as "bacterial SSU rRNA". It matches the Rfam family "Bacterial small subunit ribosomal RNA", at positions 9 to 1056 of the family's 1533-position model. The record is from RNAcentral. Lineage: Bacteria; Pseudomonadati; Pseudomonadota; Alphaproteobacteria; Rhodobacterales; Roseobacteraceae.
GAGUUUGAUCAUGGCUCAGAACGAACGCUGGCGGCAGGCCUAACACAUGCAAGUCGUGCGCGCCUUCGGGUGAGCGGCGGACGGGUGAGUAACGCGUGGGAAUGUGCCCUUCUGUUGAGGAUAGCCCCGGGAACUGGGAGUAAUACUCGAUACGCCCUACGGGGGAAGGAAGGAAUCCCCGCGUCUGAUUAGGUGUUGGUGGGGUAAUGGCCUACCAAGCCUAGAUCAGUACUGGUUUUAGAGGAUGAUCAGCCCACUGGUGACUGAGACACGGCCCAGACUCCUACGGCUGAGGCACAGUGGGGAAUCUUAGACAAUGGGGGCAACCCUGAUCUAGCCAUGCCGCGUGAGUGAUGAAGGCCCUAGGGUCGUAAAGCUCUUUCGCCAGGGAUGAUAAUGACAGUACCUGGUAAAGAAACCCCGGCUAACUCCGUGCCAGCAGCCGCGGUAAUACGGAGGGGGUUAGCGUUGUUCGGAAUUACUGGGCGUAAAGCGCGCGUAGGCGGAUCAGAAAGUUGGGGGUGAAAUCCCGGGGCUCAACCCCGGAACUGCCUCCAAAACUCCUGGUCUUGAGUUCGAGAGAGGUGAGUGGAAUUCCGAGUGUAGAGGUGAAAUUCGUAGAUAUUCGGAGGAACACCAGUGGCGAAGGCGGCAUCACUGGCUCGAUACUGACGCUGAGGUGCGAAGUGUGGGGAGAAACAGAGAUUAGAUACCCUGGGUAGUCCACACCGUAAACGAUGAAUGCCAGUCGUCGGUGUAGCAUGCUAUUCGGUGACACACCUAACGGAUUAAGCAUUCCGCCUGGGGAGUACGGUCGCAAGAUUAAAACUCAAAGGAAGUUGACGGGGCGCCCGCACAAGCGGUGGGAGCAUGUGGUUUAAUUCGAAGAACGCGCAGAACCUUACCAACCCUUGACAUCCUGUGCUACAUCCAGAGAGGAUGGUCCCUUCGGGGACCAGUGACAGGUCUGCAUGGCGUCGUC